AUCUCUGGUGUUUUAAAAAAAAUUUUAGUAGAGACAGGAUCUCACUAUGUUGCCCAGGCUGAGAACAUAGCCACUUUUAAAGUAAUGUAAACUUCAUAUCAUUAACCCAAAUCCUCCUAAUUGGUUAUAAACACAUCUCAAACUAAUUCCCCUCUAGAACCCUCUGCUCUCUGAAAGGUGAAACAAAUGGCAAGACAAGGAUGCAUUAGGGGCUGCAUGGUGGCUCACACCUGUAAUCCUAGAACUUUGGGAGGCCGAGAUGGGCAGAUCGCUUGAGUCCAGGAGUUUGAGACCAGCCUGGACAGCAUGGCAAAACUCCAUCUCUACUAAAUAUACAAAAAUUAGCCAUGGUGGCACACGCCUGUAAUCCCAGCUACUUGGGAGGAUGAGGAGCGAGAAUCACUUGAACCUAGGAGGUGGAGGUUAAAAUAUCACCACUUUACAUGAAACCGCAAAAAAUAUUUUGACCAGGUAUUAACUAUUAU
RNAcentral lists this long non-coding RNA (485 nucleotides) under Pan troglodytes (chimpanzee). RNAcentral describes it as "long non-coding RNA NONPTRT013831". The record is from RNAcentral. Lineage: Eukaryota; Metazoa; Chordata; Mammalia; Primates; Hominidae.